UACGUAGGGUGCGAGCGUUGCCCGGAUUUAUUGGGCGUAAAGGGCGCGUAGGCGGUGAGACACGUUCGUUGUGAAAUCGCCCGGCUCAACUGGGCGGGGUCAGCGGAUACGGUCUCACUUGAGCAAGCUAGGGGCAAUGGAAUUCCCGGUGUAGUGGUGGAAUGCGUAGAUAUCGGGAGGAACACCAGUGGCGAAGGCGGUUGCCUGGGGCUUUGCUGACGCUGAUGCGCGAAAGCGUGGGGAGCGAUCCGG
RNAcentral lists this ribosomal RNA (252 nucleotides) under uncultured bacterium. RNAcentral's name for it is "partial 16S ribosomal RNA". It matches the Rfam family "Bacterial small subunit ribosomal RNA", at positions 524 to 776 of the family's 1533-position model. The record is from RNAcentral.